This 1496-nucleotide long non-coding RNA is filed under the name Equus asinus (donkey). RNAcentral's name for it is "lncRNA (ENSEASG00005029297.1)". The record is from RNAcentral. Lineage: Eukaryota; Metazoa; Chordata; Mammalia; Perissodactyla; Equidae.
CGAAGUUAGUAAUUACCUGAUCCCAGGAAUUGCUCAAUAGGUCAAUCCCCUGAUCCCUUGCUAUUUUCACCUUUAUGCAGCUGUAGGGGGAAGGUGGUAGUCUACAAGCCUGCGAGAGCUAGAGUGGAGCUUCCUAUGUGACAGAAGCAGGAUGGGGCCUUCUCUGCUAAAAUUCCAUGGAAAUAAUAAUAGUAAUAUUGACUUAUUUAUGGAGGGUACACAAUCAACACCUGGCCUUGGCAAGUAACUUAACCUGAGUACCGGAUCUCAGAUAUUAUAUUGAGAUAUAUUAUACCCACCUAAUAGAAUCUUCGCUUCUGAAGACUGAAGUGAACAAGGAAAGUGCUUUAUACCAUGGCAGAGUUAUACACCACGCCGGGAGCCCUCCUACCUUUACUACAUGGGCUCAGUGUCCACGGAGAACUCCAAGCUCUGGAAAUGUCAGGAUUAGUCAAGAAGACAGUAAGAUCUCAAGUCACCACCAGCACCAAAUGAUAGAGUCAACAAUCCCAACUCCCUUUUCAGGCCCCUUAUCUAGAAAAGGGACUAUGCCCACAGUCCCACUGGGAAUUGCUUUCAGAGGAGCUGAUGAAAGCUGUGAAGGCACUGUUGCCCAACAGUGAGGGGAGUGGAAACAACUUGGCAGAACCUCUGGGAAGGCCCAUCAGGGCAUGAGAUCAGUGACCAGAGACGAGGACCACACUCCAGGGGUAGAGGCAGAACCACAUGUCAUGCCCUGCAGACUCCAGAGCUGCAUCUCCAAGACAGAGGGAGGCCUCCAGCAGACAAGAUGCGGAUGCGGGCCUUCUAAAACUCAGCUUUCAGAUGAAGACAGCACCGAGUCUCAGACCUACGCUUGCUGGCCGUUCCAUCAGAUAGGAUUCUACACCUAAGAACAGACUGAGGGCUCUAUCAGCUGACCAGAGACUCUCAGAGGCUCAGCACCACUCUCCAGAUAGGUCCUAACCCAGAGGAAGGGCUCAUUUCAAGAUGCCUGAGAUGGGAAGCACUGACACACCAAUGUUCUUCUGCAGGUGUCCUGAACUCCAUUAAUAAUCCAGUCCAUGACCACUGAGUCCCUGUGUUUGGGAUGAUAUUCUUUUCCUUCCUAAUGUUUCCUGUCUCAGAUGCGUCUCUCUGAGCCAACAUAAUUGAUUUAAAAAAGUGGGAAGAGGAACAGGAGAAAUAAGAGUCAACUUCAGCUGGGGGCUGGGCCUUGGCUCCCUUACCUGGUUGAUGUCUCCUUUAUUCUGAAGACUGGUAGCAAAUGGCUCCGUUUUGGAAGAAGGAUGACAGAAGGAGGAGCCUAGCCACACACAGGAAGUAAAUGAUGGAAUUGAUGACCCGUGGCUCACUCACUCUCCUCAGAAAGGAGAUAGGUGUCCAUCAUCUGAGGCCUGAAGCUCACUACUGCCUCAGACAACAGGGCACUGAGAUGUGUGCUGUAUUCUAGAAUGUUCCAGGCCUGCAUCACAGAGCAUGGAGCAGUGACAAAG